CCGCGGUAUCCUGACCGUGCAAAGGUAGCGCAAUCAAUUGUCCCAUAAAUCGAGACUAGUAUGAAUGGCUAAACGAGGUCUUAACUGUCUCUUACAGGCAAUCGGUGAAAUUGAUCUCCCUGUACAAAAGCAGGGAUGAGCCCAUAAGACGAGAAGACCCUGUGGAACUUCAAAACCAGCGACCACCUUAAAUCACACACUCACCCACCGGGUUCACUAACACAUAAGCCACUGGUCCGCGUUUUUCGGUUGGGGCGACCUUGGAGCAAAACAAAACCUCCAAAAAUUAGACCACACCUCUAGACUGAGAGCGACUCCUCAACGUGCUAAUAGCACCCAGACCCAAUAUAAUUGAUCAAUGGACCAAGCUACCCCAGGGAUAACAGCGCAAUCUCCCCCGAGAGUCCGUAUUGACGGGGAGGUUUACGACCUCGAUGUUGGAUCAGGACAUCCUAGUGGUGCAGCCGCUACUA
RNAcentral lists this ribosomal RNA (473 nucleotides) under Certhidea olivacea. RNAcentral's name for it is "partial 16S ribosomal RNA". It matches the Rfam family "Bacterial large subunit ribosomal RNA", at positions 1931 to 2567 of the family's 2925-position model. The record is from RNAcentral. Lineage: Eukaryota; Metazoa; Chordata; Aves; Passeriformes; Thraupidae.